CAGUAGCCGCGGGAAUACGAAGGGGGCUAGCGUUGUUCGGAUUUACUGGGCGUAAAGCGCACGUAGGCGGACUUUUAAGUCAGGGGUGAAAUCCCGGGGCUCAACCCCGGAACUGCCUUUGAUACUGGAAGUCUUGAGUAUGGUAGAGGUGAGUGGAAUUCCGAGUGUAGAGGUGAAAUUCGUAGAUAUUCGGAGGAACACCAGUGGCGAAGGCGGCUCACUGGACCAUUACUGACGCUGAGGUGCGAAAGCGUGGGGAGCAAACAGGAUUAGAGACCCCAGUAGUCCCUGUCUCUUAUAC
RNAcentral lists this ribosomal RNA (301 nucleotides) under uncultured bacterium. RNAcentral's name for it is "partial 16S ribosomal RNA". It matches the Rfam family "Bacterial small subunit ribosomal RNA", at positions 509 to 807 of the family's 1533-position model. The record is from RNAcentral.